AGCAGCCGCGGUAAUUCCAGCUCCAAUAGCGUAUAUUAAAGUUGUUGCAGUUAAAAGCUCGUAGUUGAAUUUCGGAAUCUGUCCAUCGGUCGGGCUUCACUGUCCGUACUGGUGUGGUGGGUUCUUACCUUCUGAAUAACCAGCAUGCCAUUCACUUGGUGCGCUGGGGAAGCAGGACUAUUAUCUUGAAAAAUUGAGUGCUCAAAGCAGGCUAGUGCCUGAAUACAUUAGCAUGGAAUAAUAAAAUAGGACGGCAUGGUUCUAUUUUGUUGGUUUCUAGGAUCACCGUAAUGAUUAAUAGGGAUAGUUGGGGGCAUUAGUAUUCAAUUGUCAGAGGUGAAAUUCUU
This 347-nucleotide unclassified non-coding RNA is filed under the name uncultured Glomus. RNAcentral describes it as "SSU rRNA". It matches the Rfam family "Eukaryotic small subunit ribosomal RNA", at positions 569 to 921 of the family's 1831-position model. Lineage: Eukaryota; Fungi; Glomeromycota; Glomeromycetes; Glomerales; Glomeraceae. The record is from RNAcentral.